RNAcentral lists this ribosomal RNA (922 nucleotides) under uncultured Mycoplasma sp. RNAcentral describes it as "bacterial SSU rRNA". Lineage: Bacteria; Bacillati; Mycoplasmatota; Mollicutes; Mycoplasmatales; Mycoplasmataceae. The record is from RNAcentral.
UUCUUCGGAACCUAGCGGCGAAUGGGUGAGUAACACGUGCUUAAUCUACCCUUCAGAUUGGAAUACCCAAUGGAAACAUUGGCUAAUGCCGGAUACGCAUGGAAUCGCAUGAUUCCGUUGUGAAAGGGGCCUCAAAGCCCYACUGAAGGAUGAGGGUGCGGAACAUUAGUUAGUUGGUAGGGUAAUGGCCUACCAAGACUAUGAUGUUUAGCCGGGUCGAGAGACUGAACGGCCACAUUGGGACUGAGAUACGGCCCAAACUCCUACGGGAGGCAGCAGUAGGGAAUAUUCCACAAUGAGCGAAAGCUUGAUGGAGCGACACAGCGUGCACGAUGAAGGUCUUCGGAUUGUAAAGUGCUGUUAUAAGGGAAGAACACUCAGAGGAGGAAAUGCCUUUGAGCUGACGGUACCUUGUCAGAAAGCGAUGGCUAACUAUGUGCCAGCAGCCGCGGUAAUACAUAGGUCGCAAGCGUUAUCCGGAAUUAUUGGGCGUAAAGCGUUCGUAGGCUGUUUAUUAAGUCUGGAGUCAAAUCCCGGGGCUCAACCCCGGCUCGCUUUGGAUACUGAUAAACUAGAGUUGGAUAGAGGUAAGCGGAAUUCCAUGUGAAGCGGUGAAAUGCGUAGAUAUAUGGAAGAACACCAAAGGCGAAGGCAGCUUACUGGGUCUAUACUGACGCUGAGGGACGAAAGCGUGGGGAGCAAACAGGAUUAGAUACCCUGGUAGUCCACGCCGUAAACGAUGAUCAUUAGUCGGUGGAGAGUUCACUGACGCAGCUAACGCAUUAAAUGAUCCGCCUGAGUAGUAUGCUCGCAAGAGUGAAACUUAAAGGAAUUGACGGGGACCCGCACAAGCGGUGGAGCAUGUGGUUUAAUUUGAAGAUACACGGAGAACCUUACCCACUCUUGACAUCUUCCGCAAAGC